GAUGAAGAACGUAGCGAAAUGCGAUAAGUAAUGUGAAUUGCAGAAUUCCGUGAAUCAUCGAGUCUUUGAACACACAUUGCGCCCCCUGGUAUUCCGGGGGGCAUGCCUGUCCGAGCGUCAUUGCUGCCCUCAAGCACGGCUGGUGUGUUGGGCCUCCGUCCUCCUCCCGGGGGACGGGCCCGAACGGCAGCGGCGGCACCGCGUCCGGUCCUCGAGCGUAUGGGGCUUCGUCACCCGCUCUUGUAGGCCCGGCCGGCGCUUGCCGACACAUCAAUCUUUUUUCCAGGUUGACCUCGGAUCAGGUAGGGAUACCCGCUGAACUUAAGCAUAUCAAUAAGCGGAGGA
This 345-nucleotide unclassified non-coding RNA is filed under the name soil metagenome. RNAcentral's name for it is "partial contains 5.8S ribosomal RNA, internal transcribed spacer 2, and large subunit ribosomal RNA". The stretch from base 1 to 120 matches the Rfam family "5.8S ribosomal RNA", at positions 35 to 154 of the family's 154-position model. The record is from RNAcentral.